AUUGAACGCUGGCGGCAUGCCUUACACAUGCAAGUCGAACGGCAGCACGGGUGCUUGCACCUGGUGGCGAGUGGCGAACGGGUGAGUAAUAUAUCGGAACGUACCUUAUUGUGGGGGAUAACGCAGCGAAAGCCGUGCUAAUACCGCAUAAUCCCUAAGGGGGAAAGCGGGGGACCGUAAGGACGCGCGCAAUUAGAGCGGCCGAUACCUGAUUAGCUAGUUGGUGAGGUAAAGGCUCACAAAGGCAACGAUCAGUAGCUGGUCUGAGAGGACGAUCAGCCACACUGGGACUGAGACACGGCUCAGACUCCUACGGGAGGCAGCAGUGGGGAAUUUUGGACAAUGGGGGCAACCCUGAUCCAGCAAUGCCGCGUGAGUGAAGAAGGCCUUCGGGUUGUAAAGCUCUUUUGUCAGGGAAGAAACAGCAGCUCUAACACAGUAUGCGAAUGACGGUACCUGAAGAAUAAGCACCGGCUAACUACGUGCCAGCCGCCGCCGUAA
Molecule: ribosomal RNA, 501 nt
Filed under: uncultured bacterium
Lineage: Bacteria
Description: partial 16S ribosomal RNA
Rfam family: Bacterial small subunit ribosomal RNA
Source: RNAcentral